AGAGUUUGAUCCUGGCUCAGGACGAACGCUGGCGGCGUGCUUAACACAUGCAAGUCGAGCGGUAAGGCCCUUUCGGGGGUACACGAGCGGCGAACGGGUGAGUAACACGUGAGUAAUCUGCCCUUCACUUCGGGAUAACCAUCGGAAACGGUGGCUAAUACUGGAUAUGACUCUGUCACGCAUGUGGUGGAGUGGAAAGCUUUUGUGGUGGAGGAUGUGCUCGCGGCCUAUCAGCUUGUUGGUGAGGUAAUGGCUCACCAAGGCUUUGACGGGUAGCCGGCCUGAGAGGGUGACCGGCCACACUGGGACUGAGACACGGCCCAGACUCCUACGGGAGGCAGCAGUGGGGAAUAUUGGACAAUGGGCGGAAGCCUGAUCCAGCAACGCCGCGUGAGGGAUGACGGCCUUCGGGUUGUAAACCUCUUUCAGUACCGACGAAGCGCAAGUGACGGUAGGUACAGAAGAAGCACCGGCCAACUACGUGCCAGCAGCCGCGGUAAUACGUAGGGUGCGAGCGUUGUCCGGAAUUAUUGGGCGUAAAGGGCUCGUAGGCGGUUUGUCGCGUCGGGAGUGAAAACUCAGGGCUUAACUCUGAGCCUGCUUCCGAUACGGGCAGACUGGAGGUAUGCAGGGGAGAACGGAAUUCCUGGUGUAGCGGUGAAAUGCGCAGAUAUCAGGAGGAACACCGGUGGCGAAGGCGGUUCUCUGGGCAUUACCUGACGCUGAGGAGCGAAAGUGUGGGGAGCGAACAGGAUUAGAUACCCUGGUAGUCCACACCGUAAACGUUGGGCGCUAGGUGUGGGAUCCAUUCCACGGGUUCCGUGCCGCAGCUAACGCAUUAAGCGCCCCGCCUGGGGAGUACGGCCGCAAGGCUAAAACUCAAAGGAAUUGACGG
This 895-nucleotide ribosomal RNA is filed under the name uncultured bacterium. RNAcentral's name for it is "bacterial SSU rRNA". It matches the Rfam family "Bacterial small subunit ribosomal RNA", at positions 8 to 916 of the family's 1533-position model. The record is from RNAcentral.